This 468-nucleotide ribosomal RNA is filed under the name uncultured bacterium. RNAcentral describes it as "partial 16S ribosomal RNA". It matches the Rfam family "Bacterial small subunit ribosomal RNA", at positions 28 to 507 of the family's 1533-position model. The record is from RNAcentral.
GACGAACGCUGGCGGCGCGCCUAACACAUGCAAGUCGAACGGAAAGGCCCUGCUUUUGUUUGGUGCUCGAGUGGCGAACGGGUGAGUAACACGUGAGUAACCUGCCCUUGACUUGGGGAUAACUUCAGGAAACUGGGGCUAAUACCGGAUAGGAGCUCCGCCUGCAUGGUGGGGGGUGGAAAGUUUGGGCUGCUGGGGUUGGUCUCGCGGCUUGUCAGCUUGUAGGUGGGGUAGUGGCUUACCAAGGCUUUGACGGGUAGCCGGCCUGGGAGGGUGACCGGCAACAUUGGGAUUGGGAUGCGGCACAGACUCCACUGGGAGGCGACAGUGCAGAAGAGUGCACAGUGGGCGGGAGCCUAAUGCAGCGACGCCGCGUGGGGGAUAACGACAAUGGGGUUGGAAACCGCUUUCGCGUUGGACGAGGCGUGAGUGACGGUAAUGGGUAAAGAAGCAACGGCUAACUACGUG